GUGCCAUUACACUCCAGCCUAGACAACAGAGUGAGAAUCUGUCUCAAAAAAAAAGAAAAAAAAAAAAAAAAAAGGAAGAAAUUCACCAAGUUGUACACUGCUGUAAAUUAAACUUCCAAAGUAAAUUAAGUGUGUGCGUGUGUGUGUGAUGUUGUCACUAAGAAAACCUGUAUUGAGCUGGGCACAGUGGCUCACGCCUGCAGUCCUAACUACUGGGAGGCUGAGACGGUUGAACCCAGGAGUUUGAAGCUGCAGUGAGCUACAACUGUGCCACUACACUCUGGCCUGGGUGACAGAGCAAGAUCCCGUCUCUUACAACAAAAAUAAAGCCACUAUUGAUGGAGAAACGCUCCCAAUAAAUAAUAAAAUGCAGCAUAUAAACUAUAUACAUUGUGAUCUUAAUUAUACUUUUAUUAAAAUAUACAUACUUAUGCACAGAGUGAAUAGAAAAAAUAUUGGAAGGAAACCAAAAUAUUGACAGCAGUUAUCUCUGAUAGAUAGAAUGACAGAUGAUGUUUAUUUUCUUCUUACACUUUUUCCUAGAUUAGUUCUGCAUUUUCCGGCAUUCAUAUGUAUUGUUUCCCAGCCAUCCUGUCAAGCGCUGGGAUUGUUCUGAUCUCUGGGAGCCUCCAGGGCUGACUCCAGUAUGGCUAAUCUAAAGUGAGCUUGUAAUCUCCAAAAUCCUGAUGGUGGCUUUUCUAUUAGGCAGACUAAUAGAUUCAGAUAUAGGUCCCAACAGUUUGUGUUUUCCUUACUGUCCCAGUUUUAUAUCAUUAUUCUUAGUACUAAACAGAGUGACAACAGGGAGUGACAUUUGUUGAGGACCUACGAUGUGUCAGGGUCCAUGCUGGGGACUUCACAUGAGGGCUCCAUGAAGCCCCCUUGGACACUCAGGUCCUUGUGUCAUCCCCACUUCCCGCCCGCCACUGACGCUGGGGUGAACCUGCAACUCACUGUGACUAAGAGAAUGCAGUGGAAACCAUGCUCUACCCAGUCCAGGCUAAAGCUUUAAGGAGGCCUGGAAGUUACCACACAGCCCAGCAAUUCUACUCCUAGGAAUCUCCCUCAAGAAAACUGAAAACAUGGCUGCGUGCAGUGGCUCACACCUGUAAUCCCAGCACUUUGAAAGGCUGAGGUAGGCGGGUCACUUGAGCUCAGGAGUUUGAGACCAGCGUAGCCAACAUGGCAAAACCCUGUCUGUACUAAAAAUACAAAAAAUUAGGGAGGUGUGGUGGUGGAUGCCUGGAGUCUCAGCUAUUUGGGAGGCUGAGUAGCUUGGACUAUAAGCGUGCAGCACGACACCCGGCUAGUUUUUGUAUUUUUAGUAGAGAAAGGAUUUUGCCACAGCGGUCAGGCUAAUAAGGGAUCGCCUGGCUCAGCUUCCCAAAGUGUGGGGAUUACAGUUGUGAGCCACCGCACCCGGCUCCAAUAAAACUUUAUUUACAAAAACAAGCCGUGGGCCAGACAUGCCCUCUGGGCUGUAGUUUGCUGACUCCUGCCCUAGAGCAGAUGUACAUGAAGGGCAAUGAGAAGCGCGUGCAAAAAUACAUUCUCCUUCAAUGUGCAAUGGUGGAGGAAGCAAAAUGGGUUCCAACAUGAACCCCAAGUGAACACUCCCAGGGUAGGUGCUGUACAUUGUGGCCUUCUCUGCAUUCACCACCCACAGCUUAUCACUUCGGCAGUGACUCCCAGCCUGUAGCCUUGUUUUCUAAUACACAAAAUCUGAACACAAACCAAGUGCCCAUCAACUGGGGACUGGUUAAAUUAAUCAUGGUAUGUCUUUACAAUGGCGUAUUUGCAGUUAUUAAGAAUCAUAUUGUGAUUGAGCACGGUGGCUCAUGCCUGUAAUCCCAGCACUUUGGGAAGCCAAGGUGGGUGGGUCACUUGAGGGCAGAAGUUUGAGACCAGCCUGGCCAACAUGGUGAAACCCUGUCUCCAGUAAAAAUACAAAAAUUAGCUGGGCAGGCACCUGUAAUCCCAGCUAUUCAGGAGGCUGAGGCAUGAGAAUUGCUUGAACCUGGGAGGUGGAGGUUGCAGUGAACCAAGAUCACACCACCGCACUCCAGCCUGGGCGAGAGUGAGACUGUCUCAAACAAACAAAAAAGAAUGAUAUUGUGGUUCAUGCCUGUAAUCCCAGAAAUACUGGAGGCCAAGGUGGGAGGUUCGUUGAGCCCAGGAGUUUGAGAGCAGUUUGAGCAACACAGGGAGACCCUGUCUCUCCCAAAAAAUAAAAAUAAAAAAAUAAUUAGCCUGUGGUACAUGCCUGUGGUCCUAGGUACUUGGGAGACUGAGGUGGGAGGAUCGUGGCUACAGUGAGCUCUCAUCACGCCACCACACUCCAGCCUUGGCAACAGAGUGAGACCUUAUCUUUUUUUUUUUUUUUUUUGAGACAGAGUCUCACUCUGUCACCCAGGCUGCAGUGCAGCGGCGCGAUCAUGGCUCACUGCGACCUCCACCUCCCAAGUUCAAGAGAUUCUCCUGCGUCAGCCUCCUGAGUAGCUGGGAUUACAGGCGUGCGCCACCACACCUGGCUAAUUUUUGUAUUUUUAGUAGAGACGGGGUUUCAUCGAACUCCUGACCUCGUGAUCCACCCGCCUCGGCCUCCCAAAGUGCUGGGAUUACAGGCGUGAACCACCGCACCUGGCCAAGUGAGACUCUGUCUCUAAAAAAAGAAAAAAAAAGUUAUUUUAGAAAACAACACAUUUGAGGAUAUGGAAGUAUGGUUACAGUAUCAGGUGAGAAAACCAUGCUGGAAGAUACUAAGAUAACACUGCCAAAAGAAAAUGUAAGCACCACACCUAGAUGAUUAUGCACAGAAGAAAGGUUGGAAGAAUAUGUACCUAGGGUGAUGGUCUCCGGAGAAUGUGACUAUGGGUGAUUUAUUUUUCCUCUUCUAGCAAGUAUGCAUUUGAUAAGUUUCUUCAAUGAAUAUGCAUUAGUAGUUUAAAAAAAAUUUUUCUUUUUUGAGACAGGGGUCUCACUGUGUCACUCAGGCUGAAGUGCACCACUCGGCUCACUGUAACCUCCGCCUCCCGAGUUCAAGUGAUUCCUCUACCUCAGUCUCCUGAGUAGCUGGGACUACAGGCAUGUGCCACUAUGCCCAGCUAAUAUAUGUAUGUUUAGUAGAGAUAGGGUUUCACCAUAUUGGCCAGGCUGGUAUUGAACUCCUGGCCUCAAGUGAUCUACCCACCUCAGCCUCCUAAAGUGCUGGGAUUACAGGCAUGAGCCACCGUACCAGGCCUAAAAAAUUUUUUCAAGCAAAGUAAAACAAACAAAAGCCACUUAAAGCCACACCAAUGGUAUUUAAGGAUAUUAUGGACCCCUCCAUGGUUAUCUGCCCAAGGAAGCUAAUGCCACAAUAGAAGCCAAUGAAGAUCACAACACUGGUGCCAGGGGCAGCCCUGAUCACAGUGGACAAAAUAUAAUCCAAGUCCAGCAACAAGGUGGCUAAGGACCUAUUUACUGACACUGCACCGUAAGUAAAAAUGAGAACUGUAACACCUCCUAGCAACAAAGCAAGUGUAAAGAAAAUGAUGCUGAAAUGAACACAGCAGAACUCAUCCUUCCUUAUCCACUCUCAAAACAUACAUACAGGAAUAUGGAAAAUGCUGCAUGGGGAUGGUGAAGACAGGAAAAGGUUUACCAGGCUGGAAAUUGUUUGCGUUUUUUUUUUUUUUUUUUUUUUUUGAGAUGUUUUGCUCGUCGCCUAGGCUGGAGUGCAAUGGCGCGAUCUCGGCUCGCUGCAACCUCCGCCUCCCUGGUUCAAGUGAUUAUCCUGCCUCAGCCUCCUGAGUAGCUGGGAUUACAGGCGCACGCCACCACACCUGGCUAAUUUUUGUAUUUUUUAGUAGAGACGGGGUUUUGUCAUGUUGGCCAGGUUGGUCUCGAACUCCUGACCACAGGUGACCUGCCCACUUUGGCCUCCCAAAAUGCUGGGAUUGCAGGGUGUGAGCCUCUCACUGCACUCAGUCUGUUUGUAACUUUUUUUUUUUUUUCCGAGACAGAAGAUCUUGCUCUGUCACCCAGGCUGGAGUGCACUGGCACGAUCUCAGCUCACUGCAACCUCCACCUCCUGGGUUUUUAAGCAAUUCUCUGCCUCAGCCUCCUGAGUAGCUGGGAUUACAGGGGGCAUGCCACCACACCCAGCUAAUUUUUGCAUUUUUAGUAGAGACGGGGUUUCACCAUCUUGGCCAGGCUGUUCUUGAACUCCUGACCUCGUGAUCCACCUGCCUCGGCCUCCCAAAGUGCUGGGAGCCACCGCGCUGGCCUCUGUUUGCAAUUCGUAAAAAUGCUGUCAUCAGCCUUUAAUGGUGUGUGUGCAGACUGCACAAAGAAAAGUGGAUGAGAAGACAGAAAACACACACGGUGAUGAUACCCACAGCAACAGGUGCUCUCAGGCACUCAGCCGCAUUCGAGUUCAUUGAAACUUACAACAACCUUAGGCACACACUACUUGCAGGCCGAUUUUAGAGAUGUGGAAACUGAGGCUUGGAGAGGAGAAAGCAAUUAGCCAAGGUCCCUCUCAGAAUGAGCUGAGAUGGGAUUUGUACUCACACCUAACUGACCCAGAACAUUAGUGCUUAAACACUGUGAGACACUAGGCACCCAAACUUCAAACUCUGAUAACCUCUGGUGCCAGUAAAGUUCUUGAAAAGCUUCCUUAAGAGACACAACCAUGAGAUUCCAUUUUUAAAAUGUACAGCAGCCACCAACCAGCAUCUGAAAAAGCCACGCUGCUAUUAUUAACAAUGAGACAACAGUUCUCUGGAGAAAAAGAGGACUAUUGAAACAAAACCUCAAUGACAGGAUUCUCUUCUGAGAGCACGAUUCAUCCCCAUAAUGGACAAAUGCCUCGCCUCAUUGAGACCUCCGCGCCAGUCUGAAUAAGGCAGGAAGGUUUCUUCACACCAUUCAUCUGGCCUGUGAGGGACCCAGCCAAGAUCUUGGCGUGCCUGUUCUGACAGCGACACCGGCCUCAGCAAAGCCAGACCCAGCAGCUCCGAUCUCUGCUACUUACAGACCUUGGGGUGAUGCUUGGCUGAGAUUUGGCAAGGAAAUGAAUUGCAGAAGUGAUCAAGGAGAAUUCCACAACCUGAGAGGCAGCAAAAGUGGACUUGACCCUGGUCUAGCAAGAGCCCACCAUUAGCAAUGACUCUUUCAAUACUUUCAGGAGCAGCUCCAGUCAAAAUUCCACUUACUCAAUUCUUUUUUUUUUUUUUUUUUUGAGACAGAAUCUCAUUGUCUCACCCAGGCUGAAGUGCAGUGGCUCAAUCUCAGCUCACUGCAACCUCCGCCUCCCAGAUUUAAGCAAUUCUUGUGCCUCAGCCACCCGAGUAGCUGGGAUUAUAGGCGUGUGCCACCAUAUCUGGCUAAUUUUUCUAUUUUUAGUAGAGAUGCGAUUUCACCAUGUUGGCCAGGCUAGUUUCGAACUCCUGACCUCAAGUGAUCCGCCUACCUCGGCCUCCCAAAGUGCUGGGAUUACAGGUAUGAGCCACUGCGCGCAGCCCCACUUGCCCAAUUCUUGACCAUCAUUUAUUGAGCUAAAUCCAAAAAGGAAACUCUACCACUGACUCUUUUCUUUCUCAUGGCCUCCAAAAUGAAUCCUAGGUUUUUCCAGCAGGGUAAAUUCAAAAGGACUCAGGUUGGAAAUUGACUUCUUGGUUAAAAAAAAAAAAAA
RNAcentral lists this long non-coding RNA (5677 nucleotides) under Homo sapiens (human). RNAcentral's name for it is "HSALNT0396417". Lineage: Eukaryota; Metazoa; Chordata; Mammalia; Primates; Hominidae. The record is from RNAcentral.